CCUACGGGAGGCAGCAGUCGAGAAUCAUUCACAAUGGGGGAAACCCUGAUGGUGCGACGCCGCGUGGGGGAAUGAAGGUCUUCGGAUUGUAAACCCCUGUCAUGUGGGAGCAAAUUAAAAAGAUAAUACCACACGAGGAAGAGACGGCUAACUCUGUGCCAGCAGCCGCGGUAAUACAGAGGUCUCAAGCGUUGUUCGGAAUCACUGGGCGUAAAGCGUGCGUAGGCUGUUUCGUAAGUCGUGUGUGAAAGGCGCGGGCUCAACCCGCGGACGGCACAUGAUACUGCGAGACUAGAGUAAUGGAGGGGGAACCGGAAUUCUCGGUGUAGCAGUGAAAUGCGUAGAUAUCGAGAGGAACACUCGUGGCGAAGGCGGGUUCCUGGACAUUAACUGACGCUGAGGCACGAAGGCCAGGGGAGCGAAAGGGAUUAGAUACCCUUGUAGUC
Molecule: ribosomal RNA, 446 nt
Filed under: uncultured bacterium
Lineage: Bacteria
Description: partial 16S ribosomal RNA
Rfam family: Bacterial small subunit ribosomal RNA
Source: RNAcentral